Hammondia hammondi is the source of this 72-nucleotide non-coding RNA. Lineage: Eukaryota; Apicomplexa; Conoidasida; Eucoccidiorida; Sarcocystidae. The record is from Rfam.
GGGCUGAUGGUGUAGGGGUAUCACGUUCGCUUCGCAUGCGAAAGGUCUCGGGUUCAAUUCCCGAUCAGUCCA